Molecule: ribosomal RNA, 435 nt
Filed under: uncultured bacterium
Lineage: Bacteria
Description: partial 16S ribosomal RNA
Rfam family: Bacterial small subunit ribosomal RNA
Source: RNAcentral
AGCGAACGCUGGCGGCAGGCUUAACACAUGCAAGUCGAGCGGGCGCUCACGGGGGUCAGCGGCGGACUGGUGGGUAACGGGGGGGAACGUGCGCUUUGGUUCGGAAUUACUUUGGGGAACUUGAUCUAAUAGCGGAAACGCCGCUAAGGCGGCAUGCUUGCUGCCGGAGGAGCGGCGGGCGCCUGAUUAGUUGGUUGGUGGGGUGACGCCGUAUCAAGGCGACGAUUAGUAGCUGGGCUGAGAGACUGAGCCGACACACUGGGGCUGGGACACGGCGCAGACUCCUACACGAGGGAGCCGUGGCGGAUAUUGGACAACGGGCGCGGUCCUGAUCCAGCCAUGCCGCGAGAGUGAUGAAGGCCUUAGGGUAGUAAAGCUCUUUUAUCCGGGACGAUAAUGACGGUACCGGAGGAAUAAGCCCCGGCUAACUUCGUG